GACGAACGCUGGCGGCGUGCUUAACACAUGCAAGUCGAGCGGAAAGGCCCUGCUUUUGUGGGGUGCUCGAGUGGCGAACGGGUGAGUAACACGUGAGUAACCUGCCCUUGACUUUGGGAUAACUUCAGGAAACUGGGGCUAAUACCGGAUAGGAGCUCCUGCUGCAUGGGGGGGGUUGGAAAGUUUCGGCGGUUGGGGAUGGACUAGCGGCUUAUCAGCUUGUUGGUGGGGUAGUGGCUUACCAAGGCUUUGACGGGUAGCCGGCCUGAGAGGGUGAACGGCCACAUUGGGACUGAGAGACGGACCAGACUCCUACGGGAGGCAGCAGUGGGGAAUAUUGCACAAUGGGCGGAAGCCUGAUGCAGCAACGCCGCGUGCGGGAUGACGGCCUUCGGGUUGUAAACCGCUUUCGCCUGUGACGAAGCGUGAGUGACGGUAAUGGGUAAAGAAGCACCGGCUAACUACGUG
RNAcentral lists this ribosomal RNA (468 nucleotides) under uncultured bacterium. RNAcentral describes it as "partial 16S ribosomal RNA". It matches the Rfam family "Bacterial small subunit ribosomal RNA", at positions 28 to 507 of the family's 1533-position model. The record is from RNAcentral.